RNAcentral lists this ribosomal RNA (120 nucleotides) under Runella sp. MFBS21. RNAcentral describes it as "partial 16S ribosomal RNA". It matches the Rfam family "Bacterial small subunit ribosomal RNA", at positions 1403 to 1533 of the family's 1533-position model. The record is from RNAcentral. Lineage: Bacteria; Pseudomonadati; Bacteroidota; Cytophagia; Cytophagales; Spirosomataceae.
CAUGGAAGUCGGGGAGACCUAAAGCGGAAGGUAAAAGAUUUCGUUAGGGUAAAUCUGGUAACUGGGGCUAAGUCGUAACAAGGUAGCCGUACCGGAAGGUGUGGCUGGAACACCUCCUUU